CUCGUAGGUGGCCAACUAAGUCAAACGUGAAAUCCCUCGGCUUAACCGGGGAACUGCGUUUGAUACUGGAUGGCUUGAGUUUGGGAGAGGGAUGCGGAAUUCCAGGUGUAGCGGUGAAAUGCGUAGAUAUCUGGAGGAACACCGGUGGCGAAGGCGGCAUCCUGGACCAAUACUGACGCUGAGGAGCGAAAGCUAGGGGAGGCAAACG
RNAcentral lists this ribosomal RNA (208 nucleotides) under uncultured bacterium. RNAcentral describes it as "partial 16S ribosomal RNA". It matches the Rfam family "Bacterial small subunit ribosomal RNA", at positions 568 to 775 of the family's 1533-position model. The record is from RNAcentral.